CCUACGGGAGGCAGCAGUCGAGAAUCAUUCACAAUGGGGGAAACCCUGAUGGUGCGACGCCGCGUGGGGGAAUGAAGGUCUUCGGAUUGUAAACCCCUGUCAUGUGGGAGCAAAUUAAAAAGAUAGUACCACAAGAGGAAGAGACGGCUAACUCUGUGCCAGCAGCCGCGGUAAUACAGAGGUCUCAAGCGUUGUUCGGAAUCACUGGGCGUAAGGCGUGCGUAGGCUGUUUCGUAAGUCGUGUGUGAAAGGCGCGGGCUCAACCCGCGGACGGCACAUGAUACUGCGAGACUAGAGUAAUGGAGGGGGAACCGGAAUUCUCGGUGGAGCAGUGAAAUGCGUAGAUAGCGAGAGGAACACUCGUGGCGAAGGCGGGUUCCUGGACAUUAACUGACGCUGAGGCACGAAGGCCAGGGGAGCGAAAGGGAUUAGAUACCCCUGUAGUC
This 446-nucleotide ribosomal RNA is filed under the name uncultured bacterium. RNAcentral describes it as "partial 16S ribosomal RNA". It matches the Rfam family "Bacterial small subunit ribosomal RNA", at positions 338 to 795 of the family's 1533-position model. The record is from RNAcentral.